Molecule: ribosomal RNA, 324 nt
Filed under: uncultured bacterium
Lineage: Bacteria
Description: bacterial SSU rRNA
Rfam family: Bacterial small subunit ribosomal RNA
Source: RNAcentral
GACGAACGCUGGCGGCGUGCCUAACACAUGCAAGUCGAACGAAGCAUUUAAGUGAAUCCCUUCGGGGUGAAGCUUUUAUGACUUAGUGGCGGACGGGUGAGUAACGCGUGAGUAACCUGCCUUUCAGAGGGGGAUAACAGUUGGAAACGACUGCUAAUACCGCAUAACGUACAUUUAAGGCAUCUUAGAUGUACCAAAGCUGAGGCGCUGAAAGAUGGACUCGCGUCUGAUUAGAUAGUUGGUGGGGUAACGGCCUACCAAGUCGACGAUCAGUAGCCGGACUGAGAGGUUGAUCGGCCACAUUGGGACUGAGACACGGCCCAG